Molecule: unclassified non-coding RNA, 2287 nt
Filed under: Cotesia glomerata
Lineage: Eukaryota; Metazoa; Arthropoda; Insecta; Hymenoptera; Braconidae
Description: protein arginine N-methyltransferase 1, transcript variant X2
Source: RNAcentral
ACUAUAUAAUAGAACAUAUCGUUCAUUUUACUAUUUUACCUCCAUGAAUCCAUGAUUUGUAUUCUCCCACCACUAGUUAAGAGUAACAAACUCAAUCUCCGUAGUCCGAUCAUAGUUUAUACACGUGUUUUUGAAUUUAACAACGUGGUAUUCACGCAAGUAUAAAUCAAAUAUCAUAAAUAAAUUUAAUUUAAAAAAUUAGUAAAAUGAACAUCGAUACAAGUGACAGUGAUGGUAGCGGGGAUGAUUGGGAUGAAUUAAAAGAAGACGAAUUAAUAAAUAUUUCUUGUUUAUUUUGCAAAGAUGAGUUUCAAGGUUAUAACGAUGCUUUGAAUCACAUCAAGUUACAACAUCUAUUUGAUAUGCCAAAAUUAAUAAAGGAUUAUCAGUUAGAUGAUUAUUCUUUUAGAAAAUUUAUUAACUUUGUCAGACAGCAUAAAUUAACGCCAAAUGAUAUUGGGUCAAUUAAAUGUGAUACAUGGGAUAAUGAUAGAUAUCUAACACCCAUUAUUCCAGAUGAUGCUUGGUUGAUGUUCGAUAUUGAAGAAUUGGAUGACAACUUGAUCACAAAUCACCGUUCAAUCGAAGUAAUCGAAGAAGUUAAUGAACCUCAUACACCAAUAAACAAUGAAAGAUUAAAUUCUUACCCCGUCAAUGCUGAAAAUGGCUGUGUUACAUUAUCAGAACAGCAUUUCGUCGAGUUACAAAAAACAAUUAAGGAAUUGAAAUUACAAUUAAAACAACGUGAAGCAGCCUAUUUUUGUGCUAAAGAGCAAAUUGAAGAAAUGCAAAAAAAAGUACAAAAUCUAAUUAUUGAAGAUGAUGUAGAUAUACCUAAAAGAUUAUUGAAUAGUACAGGUGUGCUUAACGACGACGGCUAUUUCAAUACUUACAGCCAUUUUGCUAUUCAUCACGAAAUGCUGACGGAUACAGUGAGAACAGAAAGUUAUCGUGAUGCACUUUUAACCAAUUCUCAUUUGUUUAAUAAUUGUACGAUGCUAGAUGUCGGUUGUGGCACUGGUAUUUUGUCAAUGUUUGCUGCCAAAUCAGGAUGUAAAAAAAUCAUAAGUGUGGACCAAUCUGAUGUUAUUUAUCAUGCAAUGGAUAUCGUCAGAGAAAAUAAUUUGAAUGAUGUAAUUGAAUUGAAAAAGGGACGAUUAGAAGAUAUUAAUCUUGGAAUUGAUAAAGUUGAUGCAAUUGUAUCAGAAUGGAUGGGAUACUUUUUACUAUUUGAAGGAAUGUUGGAUACAGUGAUUUACGCCCGUGAUCAUCAUUUAAAAGCGGGCGGAAAAUUGUUACCUAAUCGUUGCACUCUAAGUGUAGUGGGUAGUGGUGACACGAAACGUUACAUCGACCUUGUAGAUUACUGGUCGAAUGUUUAUGGAUUUAAAAUGAGUUGUAUGAAAGCUAAAGUUGUCAAAGAGCCAAGUAUCGAAAUUUCUAAUGUUAAAGAUAUCGUUACAAACGUAUCGCUGAUUCAAAAUUUCGAUCUUUAUACAGUUGAUACGAAUUGCGUGAAUUUUACUGCGCCUUUUGAGUUUAAUAUAAAAAAAACUGGCUCACUUACUGCUAUUAUUGGAUAUUUUGAUGUUUUCUUCGAUCUUGACAAUCCAGUCAAGUUUAGUACGGGACCACAUAGUCAGCCUACUCAUUGGAAACAAACAGUCUUUUCCCUCAGUGAACCAAUCAGCAUUACCGAAGGUGAAGUAAUCAAUGGGAAACUGAUUUGUCAACGACAUCCAAAAGAUAAUCGUGCAUUAAUAAUUACUAUUGUAAUUAAAAAUCAUAGUCAAGUUUACUAUCUUGAUUAGUAAUAGUAUACAACUAUAUGAUUCGCAAUGAAGAUUAGUAUUUAACAAUUGAUAAUGAUUUUACAAUUCAUAAUUAUUAAAAUUAGAUUACACUACAACAAAGUUGGCUUCUUGAGCUAUAUUAUAUUGUUCCAGUAGUAACACCAAACUUUCAUGUCGACAUUCUGCCAAGCAUAAAUUAAUUUUAGGCUAAUGGUUCAGGGAACUAUUAGCGUAAACGAAACUAAACUACCAAAAAGUUUAAAUUUUGGUACAGAUUCGAUGAAAAUUAUUUUUUUUUUACUCAGACAAUCUCAAUUGAAAUGAAGGAAAAAUUUUUAAAUAUAAUUCAUAUUUUAGUUAUUACGCAUUAUUGUUACUGAGCUUCCUUUUUGACAAUCGAUAUUCUAGGUUAUUAUUGAAUAUUCUAAUGUAAUAAUUAAAAUAGUAUAAAUUUUUCGCUCAUUUGAGCUUCAGCACAAUUUUUCUAGCCUUGU